GAUGAACGCUAGCUACAGGCUUAACACAUGCAAGUCGAGGGGCAGCAUGGUCUUAGCUUGCUAAGGCCGAUGGCGACCGGCGCACGGGUGAGUAACACGUAUCCAACCUGCCGUCUACUCUUGGACAGCCUUCUGAAAGGAAGAUUAAUACAAGAUGGCAUCAUGAGUCCGCAUGUUCACAUGAUUAAAGGUAUUCCGGUAGACGAUGGGGAUGCGUUCCAUUAGAUAGUAGGCGGGGUAACGGCCCACCUAGUCUUCGAUGGAUAGGGGUUCUGAGAGGAAGGUCCCCCACAUUGGAACUGAGACACGGUCCAAACUCCUACGGGAGGCAGCAGUGAGGAAUAUUGGUCAAUGGGCGAGAGCCUGAACCAGCCAAGUAGCGUGAAGGAUGACUGCCCUAUGGGUUGUAAACUUCUUUUAUAAAGGAAUAAAGUCGGGUAUGCAUACCCGUUUGCAUGUACUUUAUGAAUAAGGAUCGGCUAACUCCGUGCCAGCAGCCGCGGUAAUACGGAGGAUCCGAGCGUUAUCCGGAUUUAUUGGGUUUAAAGGGAGCGUAGAUGGAUGUUUAAGUCAGUUGUGAAAGUUUGCGGCUCAACCGUAAAAUUGCAGUUGAUACUGGAUAUCUUGAGUGCAGUUGAGGCAGGCGGAAUUCGUGGUGUAGCGGUGAAAUGCUUAGAUAUCACGAAGAACUCCGAUUGCGAAGGCAGCCUGCUAAGCUGCAACUGACAUUGAGGCUCGAAAGUGUGGGUAUCAAACAGGAUUAGAUACCCUGGUAGUCCACACGGUAAACGAUGAAUACUCACUGUUUGCGAUAUACGGCAAGCGGCCAAGCGAAAGCGUUAAGUAUUCCACCUGGGGAGUACGCCGGCAACGGUGAAACUCAAAGGAAUUGACGGGGGCCCGCACAAGCGGAGGAACAUGUGGUUUAAUUCGAUGAUACGCGAGGAACCUUACCCGGGCUUAAAUUGCAGAUGAAUUACGGUGAAAGCCGUAAGCCGCAAGGCAUCUGUGAAGGUGCUGCAUGGUUGUCGUCAGCUCGUGCCGUGAGGUGUCGGCUUAAGUGCCAUAACGAGCGCAACCCUUGUUGUCAGUUACUAACAGGUUCCGCUGAGGACUCUGACAAGACUGCCAUCGUAAGAUGUGAGGAAGGUGGGGAUGACGUCAAAUCAGCACGGCCCUUACGUCCGGGGCUACACACGUGUUACAAUGGGGGGUACAGAGGGCCGCUACCACGCGAGUGGAUGCCAAUCCCCAAAACCUCUCUCAGUUCGGACUGGAGUCUGCAACCCGACUCCACGAAGCUGGAUUCGCUAGUAAUCGCGCAUCAGCCACGGCGCGGUGAAUACGUUCCCGGGCCUUGUACACACCGCCCGUCAAGCCAUGGGAGCCGGGGGUACCUGAAGUGCGUAACCGCGAGGAGCGCCCUAGGGUAAAACUGGUGACUGGGGC
RNAcentral lists this ribosomal RNA (1449 nucleotides) under uncultured organism. RNAcentral's name for it is "16S ribosomal RNA". It matches the Rfam family "Bacterial small subunit ribosomal RNA". The record is from RNAcentral.